This 226-nucleotide ribosomal RNA is filed under the name uncultured bacterium. Its description in RNAcentral is "partial 16S ribosomal RNA". It matches the Rfam family "Bacterial small subunit ribosomal RNA", at positions 538 to 763 of the family's 1533-position model. The record is from RNAcentral.
GCGUUGUCCGGAAUCAUUGGGCGUAAGGCGCGCGUAGGCGGCCCGGUAAGUCCGUUGUGAAAGUCAAAGGCUCAACCUUUGAAUGCUGAUGGAUACUGUCGGGCUAGAGUACGGAAGAGGCGAGUGGAAUUCCUGGUGUAGCGGUGGAAUGCGCAGAUAUCAGGAGGAACACCAAUAGCGAAGGCAGCUCGCUGGGACGUUACUGACGCUAAGGCGCGAAAGCGUG